This is a non-coding RNA of Pogona vitticeps (central bearded dragon), 305 nucleotides long. NCBI's taxonomy places the organism in Eukaryota, Metazoa, Chordata, Lepidosauria, Squamata, Agamidae. The record is from RefSeq and is a predicted model, not a curated record.
CUGUGUGCUGGCCCCUCUUUUUCCUUCUUCUCUAUGGUCGUCUGGCUGAAGGGGGGGCUCCUGGCGGGUUUCCCGCGUCAGGAGCUGCCAGGAGAGAGAGAGUGUGAGACUGAACUGAUGCUCUCCUUGCUUUUCCUGGGACCAAAAGAGAACGACCAAGUGCCCGACCCCUCCAGGAUUUGCAAGGACCCAAGGUGGCUCAGGAAAGAAAAUAUUUAAAAGCUGGAAACCGGGAGUAGACCACGGUGCUUCGCGUCAUUAAAAGGUAAAGGUAAAGGUUCCCCUUGACAUUUACUCCAGUUGUG